UGGGGAAUUGUUCGCAAUGGGCGCAAGCCUGACGACGCAACGCCGCGUGGAGGAUGACGGUCUUCGGAUUGUAAACUCCUGUUGAUCGGGAAGAAUGGCCCUGGACCCAAUACGUCCGGGGAGUGACGGUACCGAUUGAGGAAGCCACGGCUAACUCUGUGCCAGCAGCCGCGGUAAUACAGAGGUGGCAAGCGUUGUUCGGAAUUACUGGGCGUAAAGGGCGCGUAGGCGGCCAUUUAAGUCAGACGUGAAAUCCCCCGGCUCAACCUGGGAACUGCGUCUGAUACUGGGUGGCUUGAGUUCGGGAGAGGGAUGUGGAAUUCCAGGUGUAGCGGUGAAAUGCGUAGAUAUCUGGAGGAACACCGGUGGCGAAGGCGGCAUCCUGGACCGAAACUGACGCUGAGGCGCGAAAGCUAGGGGAGCAAACGGG
RNAcentral lists this ribosomal RNA (430 nucleotides) under uncultured bacterium. RNAcentral's name for it is "bacterial SSU rRNA". It matches the Rfam family "Bacterial small subunit ribosomal RNA", at positions 355 to 776 of the family's 1533-position model. The record is from RNAcentral.